GUGGCGACUCCUCACUUUUCCUAUUUCAGUGAGAAUUCGUCCGGCGACCACAAAACCCUUGCGACAUCACUGCUAGGGUUUUCUGAUCCUGCUUUUAAUUCUUUGCCAUCGAAAGAGUUGAGCACUAGUUCUCUAUCUAUUUCAAUUGUAAAUUCCUCUAUCUAUUCCUUAUGACACGUUAGGAAGUCACCAAGAGUCCCCUUAUCCAUUUUUGAUCAAAUUGAGUAUUUGUACUAUCCUAAUUCACAUAGAAAAUGUGAAAAUCUAUUUUCACUUCUGAUGGACCCACUCUUUUCUGGAUUUAUUGUCAACACCUUUGUCAUAUAUAUUUUGAGUACUUGAUGGUUAUAUGUCAUUAAUGGUUCCUCAAUAGGGAAUAUUUAGUAAUUUCUGAUUCAAAUUGAAUGACCAUUAGAGUUCCUUUUGAACAUGUUAGGAGAAGUGGUGAACGUGAAUAUGCUGUAAGAAAAUGGAGCUCUGUAUCAUUUUCUAUGCUUUUGUAUUGUCUUGUUUUUAUUUUCUAUAGCUAUGUGUUGUUAAGGGUUAGCUUGAUUCUGGGUUAGGUAAAUUAACUCCAUGCGGAAACAUUGAAACUCUUUGAUGGUGGCAGAUAAACUUGAGCUACUGCAAU
Molecule: unclassified non-coding RNA, 631 nt
Filed under: Hevea brasiliensis (rubber tree)
Lineage: Eukaryota; Viridiplantae; Streptophyta; Magnoliopsida; Malpighiales; Euphorbiaceae
Source: RNAcentral